UCUCAGCAACUAGCAUUUGAUAUUUGUCUUUAAGAGUAGCAGCAUUAAGAUCUUUAAAGUCUAUGCAGACUCUAAGGGUGUCAUUUUUCUUAAUAAUUGGAAUAAUAUUAUCAAGCCACUCGACAUUUCUGACAGGUCUAAUGAACUUGCUCCGAAGUAAUCUCUCGAUCUCAGCUUUGAUCUUGGACAUAAUUUCAGGCGCGAACCUUUAUG
Molecule: long non-coding RNA, 213 nt
Filed under: Lathyrus oleraceus (garden pea)
Lineage: Eukaryota; Viridiplantae; Streptophyta; Magnoliopsida; Fabales; Fabaceae
Description: Pisum sativum (pea) long non-coding RNA (PSAT_LNC010645)
Source: RNAcentral